UUUUCUUCAUCUGCCUUACAAAAACCCCCACCCAAAAGCCUCACAAAUUCUGGGUUUUGGAGCCCCCAUGUUGUCUCUUCUUUCCCACUUGUGGCUUCUGCACAGGACCAGCUUUUCACUGCUCGUGUGGCUCUGGGGAGCAUCAGCUGUGGGAAUCACUGCCGGUAUUGGGAUGAAAACCUGCCUCGGAUCUCUCACUGAUAUCCUCUUCAGCCAUCCCUGCUCAUCGCGGAGGGGCCAGAGCAGCCGGGCUGUGGGAAACGGCUGGAAACUGGGAAACCAUGUACAAUGGUUUGGGAAAAGGCAGUGGUUGGGUAAGACCAUGGUCACAGGUACUCCACAGCAUGACGGGGACGCGUGACCCAGCGAGCGUUGGUGCACGAGAGUCACGGGGAGCUGAGAUCAAAGCCCCAGCCGCGCCGAGCUUUCCCGGCCAGAUGCGGUUUUGGAUAAGGGAAACGGGCAAUUAUUGCUCCACAGCUCCACGGGGUGUAUGCCAGU
RNAcentral lists this long non-coding RNA (501 nucleotides) under Calidris pygmaea (Spoon-billed sandpiper). RNAcentral's name for it is "lncRNA (ENSCPGG00000008954.1)". The record is from RNAcentral. Lineage: Eukaryota; Metazoa; Chordata; Aves; Charadriiformes; Scolopacidae.